UCUGCUUUUGCUUUCUUAGAGCCUCUGAAGCCAGUGAAGUAAAUGAAGUUAAAGGUGUUCUGCUCCUGUGUGGGUGCCUCAGUGCAUCCCUGUCCUGCAGUGGGUUGGGGCUGGCUCUCCACAUGUCCUGCACCCACAUAAUCUGCAGGCUGCCUGUCCCUAUUGCUCUCCUCCUCCAUCAAGUCCCUCUGCCUGCAAAAUAACUCUGGAGACUUUGAUUAGAUUGUUCCUGUGAAGGAGACAGGUGAGAAGGAAGCCCCCUCUCACAAAGCCAGUCUUUUUUUCCCUCAUUUUUGUGCAGGUGCUCUGGUGCCUGCAAUCCUGCUGGAAGUCUAUGGGCCAGGACCAACACGUGUGUAAAGUUCCAUUGCCACCAGAGCAGAGGAGUUGGAGGUGGCAGAAGGAAGGCGAUGGUUGGCCCAAAGGGGAGUUCAUUCACCCGGGUAAUGGGCUCUUGGCACAGCCACGGGCAAUACGGGAAAGCCACGCUCUGGGAUUGGAGAUAUUGUUAAAGUCGAAUUAAAGAUGGUAUUGAAGUCACUUUGGUGUGUUUUAUGAGAAAACCUGUGGGGUUCACAAAGGCACCGAGUGCCGAGGCUCGUCUCCCCCUCCCGCCCGAGGAAUUUCCACCACAGAAAUGCUCGGAUUUUUCCCUGUGGAAAUUCUCCAAAGGGAUCACAGCAAAGCUAAAAGAAAAGGCCAAAGGAGGGAAACCACUUCUCGUGGCAACUUUUGCAUUUGACAGUUCAAAGCAGGAGAGCAGCAGCAUUUGUCAGGAGCGCUGGGAGGGAAGCAGUAAUUGCCUGGAAGCAGCCACAGAUGCAGGGCUCACUCCAGCUGCUGCUGCAUCGCUAAGAGUCUCUUCCAAGGGAUGGAUGUUUGAAAGAUGUGAGGAACAUUGGGAAGACCAAGAGAACACUUCUGCAAUAAACCUCUUUUUGAGUCUGGGAUCAAUUGAAAUUAGGUAUUUCAUUCAUCACUGGAUCGUGUAGAAAGCCUGAGCUGAAUAAAACCUUCUGAAAGAAGAUGAGGAGACA
Molecule: long non-coding RNA, 1037 nt
Filed under: Cyanistes caeruleus (blue tit)
Lineage: Eukaryota; Metazoa; Chordata; Aves; Passeriformes; Paridae
Description: lncRNA (ENSCCEG00000021542.1)
Source: RNAcentral